UACGGAGGGAGCUAGCGUUAUUCGGAAUUACUGGGCGUAAAGCGCACGUAGGCGGCUUUGUAAGUUAGAGGUGAAAGCCUGGAGCUCAACUCCAGAAUUGCCUUUAAGACUGCAUCGCUUGAAUCCAGGAGAGGUGAGUGGAAUUCCGAGUGUAGAGGUGAAAUUCGUAGAUAUUCGGAAGAACACCAGUGGCGAAGGCGGCUCACUGGACUGGUAUUGACGCUGAGGAGCGAAAGCGUGGGGAGCAAACAGG
RNAcentral lists this ribosomal RNA (253 nucleotides) under uncultured bacterium. RNAcentral describes it as "partial 16S ribosomal RNA". It matches the Rfam family "Bacterial small subunit ribosomal RNA", at positions 524 to 776 of the family's 1533-position model. The record is from RNAcentral.